RNAcentral lists this small RNA (578 nucleotides) under Pan troglodytes (chimpanzee). RNAcentral's name for it is "retained intron". Lineage: Eukaryota; Metazoa; Chordata; Mammalia; Primates; Hominidae. The record is from RNAcentral.
AUUUAUUGCUUUUACCUGUAGCCAACCACCUCCAUGAAAGUGAUGCUCAAAUUGAAAACUGCAAUAAUAUCUUGGCCAAAGAGAGAAGAUUACAGUUUCAUCAGAAAGGGAGAAGUAUGAAUUCCACUGGAUCUGGGAAAAGUAGUGGGACAGUUUCAAGUGUUUCAGAAUUGUUGGAACUUUAUGAGGAAGAUCCUGAAGAAAUUCUUUAUAAUCUUGGAUUUGGACGUGAUGAACCAGAUAUUGCUUCUAAAAUUCCUUCCAGAUUUUUUAAUUCAUCAUCCUUUGCCAAAGGGAUAGAUAUUAAAGUAUUUUUGAGUGCUCAGAUGCAACGGAUGGAAGUAGAAAACCCAAAUUAUGCUUUAACAAGCCGUUUUCGUCAAAUUGAAGUGCUUACUACUGUGGCCAAUGCAUUUUCUUCUUUAUAUUCUCAAGUCUCCGGGACUCCCCUGCAGAGAAUUGGAAGUAUGUCCUCAGUGACCUCUAACAAGGAGACAGACCCACCUCCACCUUUAACUCGAAGUAACACUGCAAAUCGUUUAAUGAAAACACUCUCAAAACUGAAUUUAUGUGUUGAU